This is a long non-coding RNA of Jaculus jaculus (lesser Egyptian jerboa), 332 nucleotides long. RefSeq lists it as uncharacterized. The record is from RefSeq and is a predicted model, not a curated record. The transcript is spliced from 3 exons. Lineage: Eukaryota; Metazoa; Chordata; Mammalia; Rodentia; Dipodidae.
UUAUUAUUAUCACUUUAAGGUUUCUCCUCAGUACAAAUGUCAAGUCCUUUUGUCCAGCGAGUGUGAGACGACAAACGCUGAGGAAAAUUCCUAGAGAUUUGUUGGGAGUCUGGGGGCCAAGUCUUGGGAUACCACCCUGGAGUGAGAAGCCAAUCAAAGAGAAUCCAGACCAGAGAAACUGAGGCAGCCAGUGCCAGACACAGGUGUGGAGCCUUCAGUGAAGUCAGUCGCCUGGAACAAUGACUACCAGCAGAAAUGGCAAAGCCAGAUUGGAACCUAUAUCUGUCUGUGGGUCUGGUACCAGGAAUGCACCACCCCUUUUCAAAAACAAC